Molecule: ribosomal RNA, 507 nt
Filed under: uncultured bacterium
Lineage: Bacteria
Description: partial 16S ribosomal RNA
Rfam family: Bacterial small subunit ribosomal RNA
Source: RNAcentral
GACGAACGCUGGCGGCGUGCCUAAUACAUGCAAGUCGAACGCAUUUUCUUUCACCGUAGCUUGCUACACCGAAAGAAAAUGAGUGGCGAACGGGUGAGUAACACGUGGGUAACCUGCCCAUCAGCGGGGGAUAACACUUGGAAACAGGUGCUAAUACCGCAUAAUUCCAUUUACCGCAUGGUAGAUGGAUGAAAGGCGCUUUUGCGUCACUGAUGGAUGGACCCGCGGUGCAUUAGCUAGUUGGUGGGGUAACGGCCUACCAAGGCUGCGAUGCAUAGCCGACCUGAGAGGGGGAUCGGCCACACUGGGACUGAGACACGGCCCAGACUCCUACGGGAGGCAGCAGUAGGGAAUCUUCGGCAAUGGACGCAAGUCUGACCGAGCAACGCCGCGUGAGUGAAGAAGGGUUUCGGAUCGUAAAACUCUGUUGUUAGAGAAGAACAAGGAUGAGAGUGGAAAGUUCAUCCCUUGACGGUAUCUAACCAGAAAGCCACGGCUAACUACGUG